CCCUUAGAUGUUCUGGGCCGCACGCGUGGUACACUGAGUGGAUCAGCGGGUCAGGUUGCGCGAAAGCGUUUCCUAAUCUUUAAAUCCGCUCGUGAUGGGGAUUGACGGUUGCAAUUUUCUGUCAUGAACGAGGAAUACCUUGUAAGCGCGGGUCAUCAUCCCGCGCUGAAUACGUCCCUGCCCUUUGUACACACCGCCCGUCGCUCCUACCGAUUGAGUGGUCCGGUGAGGCUUUGGGAUCUGAGCGGAAAGAGCGUUUCGCUGUUUCUGCUCGGAAAACUCAGUCGAACCUUAUCAUUUAGAGGAAGGAGAAGUCGUAACA
Molecule: ribosomal RNA, 322 nt
Filed under: uncultured eukaryote
Lineage: Eukaryota
Description: partial 18S ribosomal RNA
Rfam family: Eukaryotic small subunit ribosomal RNA
Source: RNAcentral